AGAAGGAUAACUGAGAUGGAGAUCUGUCAGAGAAGAGAGGAAGAGGGGAAAGCUUCAGUCCAGACCAUUGGGCACAUGUGUACCCAGUCUAGUGAUCCAGGAUCUUUCAAUUCUCCUGCGCUGCUUCACCGUCCAGGCUGGGUUGGACUCCAGAAUAGUGGCUCUGAGAUUGGCCCAGCCGUGAUCAACGAAAUGUUGGACUAGAGGGAUAUGUAAAUUUUUAUGUUUAUUAAUAUUAUAUCUGUGCUGUGUGAAUCUAGUUAGCAUGGUAUUUCCUGAUUCACCAACAUAUUGCUUUGAACACUGUAGGCAUCUUAUUAAAUAAAUGAUAUUUUUCUG
Molecule: long non-coding RNA, 339 nt
Organism: Sander lucioperca (pikeperch)
Lineage: Eukaryota; Metazoa; Chordata; Actinopteri; Perciformes; Percidae
Exons: 2
Source: RefSeq, a predicted model, not a curated record